RNAcentral lists this long non-coding RNA (629 nucleotides) under Lupinus angustifolius (narrow-leaved blue lupine). RNAcentral describes it as "long non-coding RNA (LANG_LNC003112)". Lineage: Eukaryota; Viridiplantae; Streptophyta; Magnoliopsida; Fabales; Fabaceae. The record is from RNAcentral.
UAAAAACGAAACUAAUUAAAAUAAGGAAGGGCCUCGUGUAAAACCAAAAGGGAUAAUUGAGGGGUGUUAUCCCCUUUACCCCAUGUUCACGCAGGAUAAGGGAAAAAAGUUGAAAUCCCUAAUCCCCAACUCCAUUUCCUUUCUAGCUCCAUCUCCGGUGGUGGUGACGGUGGCUCGGGGAGCCCCAUUCAUGGCGGCUCGAAGCAUCGGGGGCGGCUCGCAGUGGUUCGCGGUGGUGGUGAGACGGUGAUGGCUUGCUAUUCGGGUUGUGACGGUUCUUGGAUGAGGGGUUUAUUCGUGGUUAGAACCUCCCUUCCCUUUUUCGUUCUGAUGAAGGUAAACUCACCUCCUUCUCCACUUUUCGGUUUGACUUGAUUGGUUUUUGGUUGUUGCUUGGUUUUAUUGAAUAGGUGAAUUGAGGGAGAAUGAAGGCGGUAUGGUGUGGUGGUUCGCGGUGGCUUUCCGACUCGGGGUUUCCUUUCUCACGAUGAUCACCAAAAUGAGGUAUGGAUUUAGUUACCGUCUUCAAUUAAUUACUUCCGAAAGGGUUGGGAUUACCGGGUUCUUAACAACUGGAAAAUGAUUCCUUUAUUGGAGUUACUAGGAAAUUAGGGGUAUGCUCUCCCGUA